UACGGAGGGUGCGAGCGUUAUCCGGAUUCACUGGGUUUAAAGGGUGCGUAGGUGGGAAUGUAAGUCAGUGGUGAAAUCUCCGUGCUUAACACGGAAACUGCCAUUGAUACUAUGUUUCUUGAAUUUUCUGGAGGUUAGCGGAAGUAUGUCAUGUAGCGGUGAAAUGCUUAGAUAUGACAUAGAACACCGAUUGCGAAGGCAGCUAACUACAGGGAUAUUGACACUGAGGCACGAAAGCGUGGGGAUCAAACAGG
This 254-nucleotide ribosomal RNA is filed under the name uncultured bacterium. Its description in RNAcentral is "partial 16S ribosomal RNA". It matches the Rfam family "Bacterial small subunit ribosomal RNA", at positions 524 to 776 of the family's 1533-position model. The record is from RNAcentral.